CGAAACCACAAACUUAAAUAAUCUUAGCCUCCCAAACACCUAUUAUUUAAAAUGAGAAACAUAUAGCAACAGAGGGCUUCCUCAAAGGAUCAAAUACAAACGAUCAAUUAAUUCCUAUAUCCCCAGCGACCAAGUGGUACAACUAGCAACAAUCAUUACAUGAACAAAUGCCAGAACCAUUUUAUAUGGCAAGACCAUUGUAAAGAGUAUGUAAAUGAAAUGCAGAGUAUCUACAGCUUCAGUUGACAUGUUUGUCUCUAAAAUAUCAUAUUUUUGUUACAGUACAGCAUAGUUCACUUUCAUUAUAAUUACUAAACUUUGGCAUUUACUCCUAUCUUUCAUGAAGCAAACAAAAUUUGGAUGAAGCUGUCUAAAAAUAUGUGAAUCAAAGCUAAAUACAUCAGUAGAAGAAAACAAAGAUCCUUCCAGCUAACAAGCCUAGCAAGAGUGUGAUUAUUAUACAAAUGGCUGUUGAUACAGACAAUUUUAUCUGCUUACCAGCCGUAGAUGGGAUUUUCUACUUGCGGAGGCAACAGAUGCAGGUCUUUACAAUGCUGCUUGUCAUAGUUUCGUGUCCCAGGUAUUGCUCCAGUACAGAGUCUAAGGAACUCAUUCCCAGUGAGACAAUAAUGGGCAAAUGCCAACCCUCCAUCAAUCAUCUCGGACAUAUUAGGCAAUGGAACUGCUUUUGCAAUGCUCUUUCCAUUAGUUUUGCUCAAUCUUGUAUCACCCUUGUCAUCAUUCAAGACUUUGCUAAGCUCAGAAUAUUGCAUAAAUCUCUCCGUUGCAGCUUCCCAAGAGAGAUUAUAUCUUUGCUCAGGUGUAAGAGGUUUAGGCUCAUUUGCUAAUGCUUCUUUCACUUUUGCAACAAAGUCCUCAGAUGUCUUGUAAGUCAAACAGUUUGGAAAUGACCUGAAGAACUCAUUUGAUGGGUGAUCAGCACAUACAACAAAUUUUCCCAUUGCAAGCGCCUCAGCAGUCGCUGUGCAGAGCACAUCACUCACACUAGGAUUUAUGAAAACUUUGUACCCAAGAAGCGAAUCAUCUGCAUGGUCUCUCCCAUUCAGAAAGUUGACUUUCAAAUCCAACCUUUUAGCUGCAAUCUGAACUUCACGUGCAUCCUCUCCAUUCCCAAACACAUCCAAAUUGAAGCCAUCCAGUUCAUUUUUGUGCCUUGCUAGCAAAUCUAUCAACUCUCUGUAUCCCUUGGCCCAGACCAACUUACCCAAGAAAUAUGCGCCUUUUGAGAAGGCUUGCUGCCCAAGUUCCCUUUCUGCAGCAAUCUUUUCUCCAAUUUUCAAAAACUUUGGAUUCACACCAUGAACAUUGCAAAUCACGGACUUCGGUAAAUCCUGGGUGGCAGCAGAAAGGCGAAGAACCUUGUUACAAUAUGCUCGAAUAACCCAAUUGUUUAUAUGUUUGACUAAAAAAGCUUGCAGAGCCCCAUUCCUUUCCCUCUUGAUGUAUUCUAGGUAAUUUGUGUGGACAACACCAACAACAUGGUUGAACUUAUCAGUCCAUCGCUUGCCAUGGUGAUACCAAUUUAAAUGUUCUGGUUCUUCCAGGAUGGCAAUGUCAGCGUCUUUUGAUGGAAUAAACUGAGAAGUAUCUCCAGCAGGGAUUAUGCUUCUCCGUUCUUUUGAGAACUUUCCUGGAUAAAAUGAUAUUUUAAAAUCAGCCUUAAAGCCAAUCCUAUCCUCAAGCCAGUUCCGGAUAUAAUUCUCCUGCUCUUCUGGUGAACUAAAAGUGAGAUUGUUGGGAUAAACUAGUUCUUGAUCUGAUUUGCAAAGCCACGGAACUAGUAAAGUGACCUUUUGUUUUUCAGACUUUGAUAAAUAUGCUGCUCGAAAAAGUGGAUUUACAGCUGUGCCUGUCAUCCAAGGAAGACUAGCAGUUGUGACAAUGGCGACAUGCCUCUUCCCGUCUGAUGGGUUAUGCUUUGAUGAGUCUGUCCAAAAACCACCCUCAUAACAAUGCCCUGUACUUUGAAGGACACUUGCUAUCCUUAAAUCCAAUUCAUCAUUCACAUUCUGGUUAUCAAUGAAAGAGGAUUCCCCGGUAGAAAGUGAGCGCUGUAAAAGUUGAUUCUUGCGUUUACUACACAAACUUUCAACUAUCUUGUCACAUAUAUCUCUUCUAACCCCAAGCUGAUCCAAAAAUGGCCCAGAUUGCCUAACAAAAUAUGCCAACAAUUCUGGUACAUCCAGUGGCGGUACUUCCAUCUGCUGUGCACAAAUUUCGCAUGCCAUUGGAUAUUAGACCAGAUAUGAUAAUGCACCAAAUGAAAGAAAUAAACAUUUGCAUUGGCACCUGGCAGUAGAAGAAAACACUACAAGCAUUAAAUGUGUGAAUGGGAUAGGCAUUUAAUAAAUUAAAUUUGAGAUCAAAGAAUGACUGUGUCAGACGCCUAACCUUUGACUCUUGAGGCUCCCGGAUUGCUUUCAAGCUGGAUUUCAAUUUCUCCACAAACUCAUUAUUCUUCAAGCCCCCAAAAAUCUCCACGGACUCGCUCUUUUUCUCCAACUCCCUGAAUCCCCUUUUCAAGGCCCUUAUCGGCUCCCAUUCCCCAAAUUGACCUCCUUCCUCUUUCCACUCUCCCCAAAACUCCCUAAACUUAACAGACCUCCUCCUUCUCCUAACCCUAUCGAAUUCCACAAUCCCAUUUCUAUCCCCAUCUUCCAUCUCCGCCACAAUUGCGUUCCUUAUAGCCGACAAAUCAAUCCCUAGCUUAGCCUUGGGCCCCCACUUCUCCAAUACCCUCUUGCUAAUCUCCGGUGCUGAGUAAACCCUCCUAAACUCCGAAAUCUUAGGCUGCAAUUUCUUCACAAAAUCAAUAUCCGUCGGCGUAGAGGACCUGAAGGAGCGUACUGAGAAGGAAGUGGAGGCGGAAUUGAAGAAAUUCUCAAGCUCUCGAUCGAAGGAGUUAGCGAGGUUCUUGAACGAGUUAGCUCGGUUCUUGAACGAGUUAGCUCGGGCCCGCAUAAGCUGGAGAUCCGCGUCGGCCGAGUCACGAACCUCCCGCCAUCCUUUAGUUAUGAAAGAGAACGCUGAGUUCGUCGACGUCGAAGGUUGCCCCUCGCCGUCCAUGGUACGGUUCCGACUUGAACUUGAGUGAAUUAGGAUUUUUAUUUUUCUUCUUAUUUUCGGUCGCAGAGGGAGCUGCGGAAGAGUAAACAGCUUUGUGGGGUUUUAACGGUUACG
RNAcentral lists this unclassified non-coding RNA (3201 nucleotides) under Hevea brasiliensis (rubber tree). The record is from RNAcentral. Lineage: Eukaryota; Viridiplantae; Streptophyta; Magnoliopsida; Malpighiales; Euphorbiaceae.